AUGAUGAAUGGCGAGGGAGAUGCAAUUGUGUUGUUGAAGUUUGGAAAAGAAAAGGGCAAAUGCAAAAAGAAGCCAGCAGAACUAGAGGAGGGAGAGAACGUGCGAGAAGAAUUGGGUGAUGGAAAACCUUGGAAUGGAAACUGGUAUUGGGGUUUGCAGCACUAUCUAGUGUUCUCAGAUGUGCUCUGGAUUUGGAUAGUAAAUGCAACAGGCAGCAUGAUUCUAACUGAGAACGCAAACCUUCAUCCACAAGAUUUUAGCCAAAGAGAAGUCACACAAUUGCAGGCAAUGUCGGAGAAGAGUUGGAAAGACCUCCUAAGAAGCCUGUAGCUGACCUCCUAAGAAGCCUGUAGCUUACCUCAGUCAAUGUUUCAGCGGUAAGAUUCCUGCAAUGACUUCCAAAACAUCCACCCUCCCUACAGAAUUAAGAAAAAAAAAGCAGCAGAAAAGAAUCAUUCUUAAUCCUUAAUAUAAGCACUAUUAAACAUUUAAAUUUCCCUUAUAAAUAUGUCUGUUUUUGUUUUUGUAGCCAGUGUGUGUUUCCUAAUUUUAUCUCAGGAGACAGUUGUCUAAAUCAAUAUUUACUGCAAUGAUUCAGUAUAACCACUAAAUAAGACAUAUCUCUAGAAUCAUAGCGUCUUAAUAUUUUAUUUUAAAAGACGUCAAUUCUAAGAAUUGGGAUACAAGAAAUAUAACCCUGAAAUUGUCCACCCUCAUUUACGCGCACUGGACAAAGUUCAUUACCAUAAAUGAGCUUCUGUAAAGCAACACCAUCACCUGAUUUUUAUCAUUCCUUUUAAUCACAUUAGAUUAACAACAGUGCAGAAACCAUUCACCACUUGUCAUCUAAUAGUAAGAAGAGGAAAAAUACCACCAACAGUAUCCACAUGAUGUAUUCCUUAUGCCACCAACUCUCCAUUAUCUAGGACAGCCUGGGCCUGAGAUACACCAUGGAUGUGAAAACACAGUGGCAGUGCUGUUGCAGACCCAGCAGUCACUCUGGCAUCUCUGUACCGCAUUCCAGUUUCUGCAAGAGCUUGUUAGCCAAGCCGGCUCCUCACAGAUAAGAUACAGAAAUAAGACCAUACCACUGACACAGUCUGCUCACGGCCUGGGUAAUCUUCCCACAGGCUACAGAGCAUGAAUGAUCUUAGCAGUGAGACUCUCAGAAACUUAAAUCUGAAGUCUUAGUGAUCUUGAGAAGGUAUCCUCUUUGUUGACUUGUCUUUUCUCUCUUUCUCUUCCUUCCUUCCUUCCUUCCUUCCUUCCUNNNNNNNNNNNNNNNNNNNNNNNNNNNNNNNNNNNNNNNNNNNNNNNNNNNNNNNNNNNN
This 1330-nucleotide long non-coding RNA is filed under the name Anser brachyrhynchus (Pink-footed goose). RNAcentral's name for it is "lncRNA (ENSABRG00000009685.1)". Lineage: Eukaryota; Metazoa; Chordata; Aves; Anseriformes; Anatidae. The record is from RNAcentral.